RNAcentral lists this long non-coding RNA (407 nucleotides) under Homo sapiens (human). RNAcentral's name for it is "HSALNT0226280". Lineage: Eukaryota; Metazoa; Chordata; Mammalia; Primates; Hominidae. The record is from RNAcentral.
CUCCAGCUCCAGUACCCGGCUCUCCAGCCGAAGGAUCUGUGGGACAACUGGCAUGAGCAGGUGCACCUGCCCGCGGGCCACCUGGGGGCACGUGUCCUGGGCCUGCACCCCCCGUCCCCCAUGCACUGAGGCUGGUUCACACGGCUGCUCACCUCACUCUUCAGCUGGAAGAUUUCAGCCUCAUGCUGCUCAUGUAGGUGGUGGGUUGUGAUCUGAAUGUCGACCAGCUCCUUGGAGAUCUGUGGGUGGCCAGGUGAGAGGUGGCGUCUGUGGGCCCUGCUGGCACCCUCCCUCCUCACGAGCACGCUGGGGCCCCACACCCACCUGCAGCUGCUGCUCCUUAUUGAGCGCUAGAUCUGGUGGGACCUCUGCUUCCAAGCUGGUGGCCCACACUGCGGUGCCCCCAG